Solea solea (common sole) is the source of this 1668-nucleotide long non-coding RNA. RefSeq lists it as uncharacterized. Lineage: Eukaryota; Metazoa; Chordata; Actinopteri; Pleuronectiformes; Soleidae. The transcript is spliced from 7 exons. The record is from RefSeq and is a predicted model, not a curated record.
GCAAAACAGGACGGCUGUGCCCGGCUACUCUUGGCAGAGACACUCGGAGCAUCAGACAGAGUUGUGAGAUGCUGAGGAGGAGAGAAGAGGGAGCAAAGAAUGGUUUCAUCUGCACUGGAGGAGACUGCUGAUCUCCUGUUACCUGUUGUCCCAUUGCAGGUGCGUGUGGCCGGCCUUGCACUCGGAGGUCCAACUCCUCCUUGGAUGAGCGUAAAGGAGAGAUGAAGGUGCAGCAGAGGAGGAGGAGGAGGAGAAGCACUCUGCAAGGAUCAUUGUGCUGACGGAUUACGAGGCACAUGAAGAGGAUUUUAUCUGACUGUUUUCAUCCCCCUGUUCCUCCGUGUGAACGCCUCGGGACGAGAUCACCUGACUGCUGGAGGACACUCUCCGUUUACCUGCAGGGAUUAUUACCUGAGUGACACCUGAGCAGACUGCUUUAUUACAGACUUGCUCCCUGUGUACACCGAGUGGACCGAGUUUUCUUCCUGCCUUACAGAGACGGAGGGAGAGAGAGAGAGAGAGAGAGAGGGGGAGAGAGAUUGCCAGGCACUGAUGGAGAAUGAGAGAAAGAGAGAGAGAGAGGGAGAAGAACAGACAGUGAGCGACAUGGACUCGCGCAGAGAAGACAGCGGAGCUCCAGACAGACAGCGUGGGCCACUGCUGGUGCUGCGCGCCGGCCAGAGCGCACUGGCUGCCGGAUCGAAAACGCUUGGACUACUGCGGGGGGAAAGUACGUGCGGAUGCCUGCCGAUCGGACUGUUUCACACGGCGGCACACGGAGCUCCGCGGCCGGGGAGACUGAGACUGAAGCGAGAGGAGGAGAAGGAAGAGGAUGAGGAGAGAAAGAGCAACUUGUUUAAUUUCGAGAUGAGGAGGACGAACUUCCACAACUGGCAUGAUGUAACGGAGGACAUGAAGAUCUGAUGAAGACACCGGGACAUCGCUGGAAAAGAAUGAGGAGCUGCCGCUGCAGUAAUCUCCACUGUUCAAUUAGCUGCAGUGACUGGUGACGCCUUAACACUUCAUUAACAGGAGGAGGAAGAUGAUGUCGAUGGUGAAACAUCAAACCAGCAGCGGAAGAAGAAGAAGAAGAAGAAGUGAUGGAGAAGGUGGUGAUGUUUCAAACACCCGCGCGCACACACGUCAGUAGAGUGUGUGUGUGAGUGUGUGAGUGUGUGAGCCAUUUCCAGGUGAAGCAAACUGAAUUAAGGUGAAUCGAGCUGAACUGAUGUGAACUGGAAUGACCUGAGCACCAGUGAAUAGAAGGUUUCACAUGACUCUCUCAGGAUUUGGGGUUCAAAAAAAAAGUUGAAAGCAGUGAAACACCUUCAAAUAAAACAGGAAAAUCUGUGGUUUAUACCUGUUCUUGUUAGUUUUCUACUUUUUUUACUUUGAAUAUAUGAUAUUUAUUCUCAUGUAUAUGUUCAUAAUGAUAGAAACAAACAUGUUACUUUUCUGUAUGUAUGUAAAUUAAUGUUUUUCUCCUUGAUGUUCCUCAUGAAAAUGCUAUCAUUUAAAUAAAAGUUAAUAGGAUAAGGUACUGGGACUGUCUUUCUCUUUUACUUUUAAGCCUUAAGUUUUAAUAUAAUAAAAGUUUGGUCAUGUUACAUUUCAUCUUCUCACUGUAACAUGUUCAUUCAAAUUUCAUCAAAUCUUUCUCUUGGCUGC